This 494-nucleotide ribosomal RNA is filed under the name uncultured Streptococcus sp. RNAcentral's name for it is "partial 16S ribosomal RNA". Lineage: Bacteria; Bacillati; Bacillota; Bacilli; Lactobacillales; Streptococcaceae. The record is from RNAcentral.
CACGUAGUUAGCCGUCCCUUUCUGGUAAGAUACCGUCACAGUGUGAACUUUCCACUCUCACACCCGUUCUUCUCUUACAACAGAGCUUUACGAUCCGAAAACCUUCUUCACUCACGCGGCGUUGCUCGGUCAGACUUUCGUCCAUUGCCGAAGAUUCCCUACUGCUGCCUCCCGUAGGAGUCUGGGCCGUGUCUCAGUCCCAGUGUGGCCGAUCACCCUCUCAGGUCGGCUAUGUAUCGUCGCCUAGGUGAGCCGUUACCUCACCUACUAGCUAAUACAACGCAGGUCCAUCUGGUAGUGGUGCAAUUGCACCUUUCAAUCAAUUAUCAUGCAAUAAUUAAUAUUAUGCGGUAUUAGCUAUCGUUUCCAAUAGUUAUCCCCCGCUACCAGGCAGGUUACCUACGCGUUACUCACCCGUUCGCAACUCACAGUCUAUGGUGUAGCAAGCUACGGUAUAAACUGUGCGUUCACUUGCAUGUAUUAGGCACGCCGCC